GCGCCGCCCAGGCGCGACCGCACCGGCCGCCGACCCUGCCGGGCUUUCUUCGCGCGCCCUCUUCGCAUGUACGAGAACACCGAAAGCCGGCCAGAGGUCGCUGCGUCCAGGCGCUCUCCGACUGGUCAGCACCAGGGGGUGUGCGCUCUGAGCAACCCACCAGGUGGCCUAUCUAAACAGCGCAAAGCAGUGGAGCAUGGGAAGAAGUCAUGCAAGGAGAAGAGAACAAGCUUCCAAGCAGGCCUCUCCCAUCUUACUGGUGCCAGAAAUAUUCGGAGAACUUGUUAGAAAGGUAGAUGCCCAGAACUCCCCACCAGCAAAGCCCUUAGUUGUGGAGAUGCAUAGUCAUGUCAAGAGAUGGGGUGAAAGGAACUGAUGGGUUCUACCUGAGGCAAAAAGAACAAAAUUUAAGC
This 413-nucleotide long non-coding RNA is filed under the name Ictidomys tridecemlineatus (thirteen-lined ground squirrel). RNAcentral describes it as "lncRNA (ENSSTOG00000031570.1)". Lineage: Eukaryota; Metazoa; Chordata; Mammalia; Rodentia; Sciuridae. The record is from RNAcentral.